AAUGCGAUGUUGGCAAAGCUGCCAUUGGGGGCGUAGUCGUGGAUGAGGAGCUUCUCGUCGACGCCCCAGUAGAAGCCGCGCAGCCGGAGGAUGUUGGGGUGGCGGAACCGGGCGAUGGCGCGCACCUGCACCUCGAAGUCCUUGAGCUUUUCGGUGCCGCCGCUGUCGCCGAUGCGCCGGACCGCCAGCGCGGUGCCGUCGGCGAGCACGGCCUUGUACAUGCUCGAACUCGUGGCGCCGAGGAUGUAGGCCGACGCCUUGAGCAGCGUCUCCAUCUUGAGCUCGCCGUCGCCAUCGACCGUCACCAGCGUCGCGGGCGUGGGGGACGCUUGCUGCUGGGGCAUGUUGUGCUUCUUGCUGUCGUGCUCCUGCGGGGUGCUUCAUCGAUGAAGCCUCCUCUCUUCUUGACGUCUUCCUCAUCGUCGGACUCACCGUCCGAAGACGCUGAGUACUCUGAGCUGUCGAUC
Molecule: unclassified non-coding RNA, 467 nt
Filed under: Zea mays
Lineage: Eukaryota; Viridiplantae; Streptophyta; Magnoliopsida; Poales; Poaceae
Description: misc RNA Zm00001eb275470
Source: RNAcentral